GAUGAACGCUGGCGGCGUGCCUAAUACAUGCAAGUCGAGCGAAAAGACGAGGAGCUUGCUCCUCUGACGUUAGCGGCGGACGGGUGAGUAACACGUGGAUAACCUACCUAUAAGACUGGGAUAACUUCGGGAAACCGGAGCUAAUACCGGAUAAUAUAUUGAACCGCAUGGUUCAAUAGUGAAAGACGGUUUUGCUGUCACUUAUCGAUGGAUCCGCGCCGCAUUAGCUAGUUGGUAAGGUAACGGCUUACCAAGGCAACGAUGCGUAGCCGACCUGAGAGGGUGAUCGGCCACACUGGAACGGAGACACGGUCCAGACUCCUACGGGAGGCAGCAGUAGGGAAUCUUCGGCAAUGGGCGAAAGCCUGACGGAGCAACGCCGCGUGAGUGAUGAAGGUCUUCGGAUCGUAAAGCUCUGUUAUUAGGGAAGAACAAAUUUGUAAUUAACUAUGGACGGCUUGACGGUACCUAAUCAGAAAGCCACGGCUAACUACGUG
RNAcentral lists this ribosomal RNA (497 nucleotides) under uncultured bacterium. RNAcentral's name for it is "partial 16S ribosomal RNA". It matches the Rfam family "Bacterial small subunit ribosomal RNA", at positions 28 to 507 of the family's 1533-position model. The record is from RNAcentral.